RNAcentral lists this small nucleolar RNA (88 nucleotides) under Camelus ferus (Wild Bactrian camel). RNAcentral describes it as "Small nucleolar RNA SNORA70". It matches the Rfam family "Small nucleolar RNA SNORA70", at positions 47 to 135 of the family's 135-position model. Rfam says of the family: snoRNA U70 seems to be exclusive to mammals and is a member of the H/ACA class of snoRNA which contain H (ANANNA) and ACA box motifs. H/ACA box snoRNAs are involved in the conversion of uridines to pseudouridines (5-ribosyluracil) a constituent of structural RNAs (transfer, ribosomal, small nuclear, and small nucleolar). The record is from Rfam by way of RNAcentral. Lineage: Eukaryota; Metazoa; Chordata; Mammalia; Artiodactyla; Camelidae.
AUGUACAAUGGCUGCAAAUAGCAGCCUCCUUGGUAGUGUUUGCAGCCUGUUACUUGCAUGUGUUGCCCUAGGGAUGUUGGUGACCACC